AUUGAACGCUGGCGGCAUGCUUUACACAUGCAAGUCGAACGGCAGCGCGGGCUUCGGCCUGGCGGCGAGUGGCGAACGGGUGAGUAAUGCAUCGGAACGUGCCCAGUAGUGGGGGAUAGCCCGGCGAAAGCCGGAUUAAUACCGCAUACGACCUGAGGGUGAAAGCGGGGGACCGAAAGGCCUCGCGCCAUUGGAGCGGCCGAUGUCGGAUUAGCUAGUUGGUGGGGUAAAGGCUUACCAAGGCGACGAUCCGUAGCUGGUCUGAGAGGACGACCAGCCACACUGGGACUGAGACACGGCCCAGACUCCUACGGGAGGCAGCAGUGGGGAAUUUUGGACAAUGGGGGCAACCCUGAUCCAGCCAUGCCGCGUGCGGGAAGAAGGCCUUCGGGUUGUAAACCGCUUUUGUUCGGGAAGAAAUACUCUGGGCUAAUACCCCGGGGGGAUGACGGUACCGGAAGAAUAAGCACCGGCUAACUACGUG
Molecule: ribosomal RNA, 484 nt
Filed under: uncultured bacterium
Lineage: Bacteria
Description: partial 16S ribosomal RNA
Rfam family: Bacterial small subunit ribosomal RNA
Source: RNAcentral